This 253-nucleotide ribosomal RNA is filed under the name uncultured bacterium. RNAcentral's name for it is "partial 16S ribosomal RNA". It matches the Rfam family "Bacterial small subunit ribosomal RNA", at positions 524 to 776 of the family's 1533-position model. The record is from RNAcentral.
UACGGAGGGUGCGAACGUUAAUCGGAAUUACUGGGCGUAAAGCGCGCGUAGGUGGCUCGAUAAGCCAGUUGUGAAAGCCCCGGGCUCAACCUGGGAACGGCAUCCGGAACUGUCAAGCUAGAGUGCAGGAGAGGAAGGUAGAAUUCCCGGUGUAGCGGUGAAAUGCGUAGGGAUCGGGAGGAAUACCAGUGGCGAAGGCGGCCUUCUGGACUGACACUGACACUGAGGUGCGAAAGCGUGGGUAGCAAACAGG